UACGUAGGGUGCGAGCGUUGUCCGGAAUUACUGGGCGUAAAGAGCUCGUAGGUGGUUUGUCGCGUUGUUCGUGAAAACUCACAGCUUAACUGUGGGCGUGCGGGCGAUACGGGCAGACUGGAGUACUGCAGGGGAGACUGGAAUUCCUGGUGUAGCGGUGGAAUGCGCAGAUAUCAGGAGGAACACCGAUGGCGAAGGCAGAUCUCUGGGCCGUAACUGACGCUGAGGAGCGAAAGCGUGGGGAGCGAACAGG
Molecule: ribosomal RNA, 253 nt
Filed under: uncultured bacterium
Lineage: Bacteria
Description: partial 16S ribosomal RNA
Rfam family: Bacterial small subunit ribosomal RNA
Source: RNAcentral